AUUGAACGCUGGCGGCAGGCCUAACACAUGCAAGUCGAGCGGAUGAAGGGAGCUCGCUCCUGGAUUCAGCGGCGGACGGGUGAGUAAUGCCUAGGAAUCUGCCUGGCAGUGGGGGAUAACGUCCGGAAACGGGCGCUAAUACCGCAUACGUCCUGAGGGAGAAAGUGGGGGAUCUUCGGACCUCACGCUACCAGAUGAGCCUAGGUCGGAUUAGCUAGUUGGUGGGGUAAAGGCCUACCAAGGCGACGAUCCGUAACUGGUCUGAGAGGAUGAUCAGUCACACUGGAACUGAGACACGGUCCAGACUCCUACGGGAGGCAGCAGUGGGGAAUAUUGGACAAUGGGCGAAAGCCUGAUCCAGCCAUGCCGCGUGUGUGAAGAAGGUCUUCGGAUUGUAAAGCACUUUAAGUUGGGAGGAAGGGCAGUAAGUUAAUACCUUGCUGUUUUGACGUUACCAACAGAAUAAGCACCGGCUAACUUCGUG
Molecule: ribosomal RNA, 484 nt
Filed under: uncultured bacterium
Lineage: Bacteria
Description: partial 16S ribosomal RNA
Rfam family: Bacterial small subunit ribosomal RNA
Source: RNAcentral